Molecule: transfer RNA, 81 nt
Filed under: Pomacea canaliculata
Lineage: Eukaryota; Metazoa; Mollusca; Gastropoda; Architaenioglossa; Ampullariidae
Description: tRNA-OTHER
Source: RNAcentral
GCGCCAGGUAGUGUAGUGGUCAUAACACUGGCUUGUGACCUCCGCAGUCAGAGGCUGUGGGUUCAGAUCUCGUCUCGCGCC